AGUGAACGCUGGCGGUAGGCCUAACACAUGCAAGUCGAACGGCAGCACAGUAAGAGCUUGCUCUUACGGGUGGCGAGUGGCGGACGAGUGAGGAAUACAUCGGAAUCUACUUUUUCGUGGGGGAUAACGUAGGGAAACUUACGCUAAUACUGCAUACGACCUACGGGUGAAAGCAGGGGAUCUUCGGACCUUGCGCGAUUGAAUGAGCCGAUGUCGGAUUAGCUAGUUGGCGGGGUAAAGGCCCACCAAGGCGACGAUCCGUAGCUGGUCUGAGAGGAUGAUCAGCCACACUGGAACUGAGACACGGUCCAGACUCCUACGGGAGGCAGCAGUGGGGAAUAUUGGACAAUGGGCGCAAGCCUGAUCCAGCCAUGCCGCGUGGGUGAAGAAGGCCUUCGGGUUGUAAAGCCCUUUUGUUGGGAAAGAAAAGCAGCAGGUUAAUACCCCGCUGUUCUGACGGUACCCAAAGAAUAAGCACCGGCUAACUUCGUG
This 492-nucleotide ribosomal RNA is filed under the name uncultured bacterium. RNAcentral's name for it is "partial 16S ribosomal RNA". It matches the Rfam family "Bacterial small subunit ribosomal RNA", at positions 29 to 507 of the family's 1533-position model. The record is from RNAcentral.